Molecule: transfer RNA, 75 nt
Filed under: Halobacteriales archaeon
Lineage: Archaea; Methanobacteriati; Methanobacteriota; Halobacteria; Halobacteriales
Description: tRNA-Arg
Rfam family: tRNA
About the family: Transfer RNA (tRNA) molecules are approximately 80 nucleotides in length. Their secondary structure includes four short double-helical elements and three loops (D, anti-codon, and T loops).
Source: RNAcentral
GGGCAUGUAACUCAGCUUGGAUAGAGUGCUUGGCUUCGGACCAAGAUGUCGGGGGUUCAAAUCCCUUCAUGCUCG